This 2285-nucleotide long non-coding RNA is filed under the name Manihot esculenta (cassava). RNAcentral describes it as "long non-coding RNA (MESC_LNC006499)". Lineage: Eukaryota; Viridiplantae; Streptophyta; Magnoliopsida; Malpighiales; Euphorbiaceae. The record is from RNAcentral.
GAGAGAAACAAAAGGCAACAUCAGACCAAUAGUUAGGGAAAAGGAUGAAGCAACAAAACUAUAUUUUUUUUACUGUAUUCCUUUUCUUUCCCUAAAGGGAUUGCCCAUCAGAUCAAUAGUUUGGAAUCUUCAGAAGGUUUUAUGUUCAAAGAGCUGCUCCCCGUUACGUAGUUCAAUUAAUGUAUACUCCCUAAAAAAUAAGUACCUUAUUACCUAGUUCGAUUAAGAGCUGCUCCUUGUUAAGUAGUUCGAUUAAGGUAUAGUCCCCCAAAAAUAAGUACCUUAUUUUCUUACAAUAGUGCCUGCUAAGCAUGUAACAAGAGUUGUAGCAGAAAGUUCCUCGCGCAUAUCCAAUACCCAUGCAAAAUUUGUGUUUUCAAUAUUGGCUCAUAAAUAACUAGGAGGGUUCAGGAGACCCUAAAUGCCCAACAGCUAAGAGACUGGAAAAGUGGGAUGUCUAGUCACAUGCAUUGACCAAAUCUAGCGACUCCCAUAAGUUAAUGUGUUAAAUUACUAUGUUCCCUCAGCUAGCAAUCAACUAUGCCUCUUUAUUAUGCAGAAGUUUUCAUCUCUCAAAAAUGGAGGCCGCAGAGUGCAGAAAAAAAAUAGAAUACUAUAUCCUCAUCCAUGUUGUUAGUUACAGAGUGUCAAGGGGCACAUGUUCCCAGGUGAAUACACUUUUAAAACCUUAAGCAAGAUCAACCUAUGAGCACAUGAAGAGCGAGGUGCACUGUGAGUUAAGAAGACAUUGCAUACAAAAAAGUAAAAUGAAAAAUAACAAAGACGAGGAAAUAAAAAAGUCUAGAUAGCUAGAAACUGCAGAAGACAUUCGAGCUAAAUCCAUUUCCUUACUGUUGCCAACAUCAAUACAUGAUUGAGUAUAUUUUGCGAGCACAACAAAGAAGUAAUACAAUGCUACCUUUCUAUUUUAUGUGGUUACAUAUUGCUUACCAUUAGAUAACGCAAUUAAGAAAACUUAAGGCUACAUUCGGUUCUGCAGGUUGUAACUACAACUAUCACAAGAAUCUACUUAAACUCUUUCUAAAUUAAUCUGACAUCUCUACUUCAAUUGAAGUAAACAAGGUGUGCAUUGAGCUAAUUGGUUAUAUAAAUGCUAUGAAAACGUUUCAGCUUUUUUUCUAAUUGCUCUAAUUUGUUAAUUUAUUUCUUCUAUAUAUCCUCAGACAUUUUUUUAACAAAAGACAAAUGUGUCCAGGUCUUACUUAGUCUUGUAAAUGUGACUACACUUUUAUCAACAUUGGUUAUCUUUCACUAAUGAUGUGUGCUUCUAAUUUACUACAUGAUAAAAAAAAAUUAACACUUCCAACCAACAAUGUCAGAUGUUCAUAUUGAAAGGACACCACUCAAUUUGUGAAAUCCUACAAAGGAGUGGGCGAUGGAUUUAGUCCCACAUCAGAGAAAAAAGAAAUUUAUAGGAUUUAAAUAAUCUAGCUCAAAACUACAAAAUAAAUCGGGUUAACAAUCUUGGCCAAUGGUUUGAAAUACAAAGUUAAUUUGGCCAAUUAGAGUUGGACUAUGACAUUUAAUAUUAGAGUUACUCUAUAUUGUGUGGAGUUGGUAGGCUUAUGAGGAAAAGGUUAACUGUGCAAGAGAUGAGAUAAGCAGCCUAAGACACCAGAACAUAAUAAUACCCAAGGGUCUGGUCCAAACUUGACUAAUAUAGCACAUUAAGAGACAAGGUGAAACCACCCAAGAUACCAUUAAAUCACAAUACCCAAGGGUUUAGUUUCAACUUAGCAAUUAUACCCCAUAUAGCACAAUAGAAUUACAAAGCAGACAUCACAAAAUUUCUUGUGAAAGAUUGUGACAUCCCACAAAGUGAUAGGCAGUUGGAUUUAGUUCCAUCCAUGUGGGAGAAGCAAAGGAAUUUCAUAAGAAUUAUAUAGCCUAGUUCAAGCUAUUGAAAUAACUUAGUUAAACAUUUUGGUUGGAGAUUUUGGAGCCAAAAGUUAUUUAGAAUAAGUAUAUGGACCCUCUUUCUUCAUGCUACUCGGUUUAGGACUACGUUCGUGUUAAGAUAUUCAGCUGUCCACCAUCUAAAUCUUGUCUUUGUUGCUCUUAUAACUUACAUAUACUGACCCUCCAUUGUGAUGUAUAUAUGUAUGCUCAUGACACCACAAAAGGUAAGGAACUGAAAGUCACGCUACAAAUUGCUAGCCAAGAAAUAGGUUCAUUUACUUCCACAAGGCAUCCUUUCAAAUUGGAUAACACAGCAAUGCAUUAUUUGCAUCGUUCAGAGAUUGUAUAAAACAAGAAGCAGAAAA